This is a long non-coding RNA of Artibeus jamaicensis (Jamaican fruit-eating bat), 15106 nucleotides long. RefSeq lists it as uncharacterized. Lineage: Eukaryota; Metazoa; Chordata; Mammalia; Chiroptera; Phyllostomidae. The record is from RefSeq and is a predicted model, not a curated record. The transcript has 6 exons.
CGGGGGGCCGGAGCGGGCGGCCUAUUGUCCGAGAGCGGCGGGGGCUGAGCACGCGCGGGCCGCAGGACGGCGGGACGCGGAAGUGGCAGACUAAAGCACAGAGGGAGACGUGUCCAAGAUGCCGUGGCAACAAGGAAAAUCGUGGCCGGGAGCUCAAGUCCUCUGAAAGGGGGAGAAAGUCAUGUUGUUCCUGGCGCUCGGGUUUGAGGUCCUCAGAGCAGCAAUAAAAACGCGUCCCCUGGUGGCUUGUUAUGCAUAUGGACAUUCCUGACUCCUAAGUAGUCCGCACAACUGGGGGGCGCAGGCAGACUCCAGAGCGCCCCUGGGCCGGCGGGCUCCCUGCACCAGCUCCGAGGUGAGGAGAGGCUUCAUUUCCCACACGGCAGCCAGAGCGACCAUAAAAGUACCAAACCUUCACUUUCCUGCUUAAACCCUCGUCAACGAGGAACGUCCAUCCUGUAGAGAAUGUUUAUAAAUACUGAUGUGCGCCAAACACAGGAUAUGCCUGGAAGCAGGACUUCACAGACUGAGACAAAUGUUUCUAAGGAAGUGACAGUUUGCAACUUCUUUUAUGCAUUUGGAAUUAAGGAGGGAACUUGAAGAAGUCUGCAUGAAGAGCAGUGGAACCAGCAGCAGCAGCAUCACCGGGAACUGGCCUGGCCCAGCAGUUCCCAACUGCACCCAAAUUCCUUAGGAAGUGCAUGGAAAUAGCGGGUGCUGGGACCUACCCCAGAGUUUCUGAGUCAGCAGCUCUGUCCAGGUGGAGCCUCGGGGUCUGCAUCUCCAACAAGUUUCCAGGCGAUGCUGGUGCGGCUGGCUCAGGAUCCACCCUUGGAAACCAGCCGUCUACAGUCCUAUGUCCCAUGCUUCUCAGAGCACUGUGACAAUGACCCUGGGUGCACCCAGGCGUGAGGACAUCUAUCAGAGUGGAAAGCGGCGACCCACUUUGCCUGACCCUCGAGCUUUGAGGACAUCGCCGACAAAGCACUGGGGACACGAGGCCACCCCCAUGCAACACCUAAAAGCCCAGGGCCAGUUUCCUGGGUGUUCAGAGCCCACAGCCGGGAACCGGCGCAGGCACCGCAGACCCCAGCCAGGCAGUCUUGCGAAUUGCUCUUCUCCUUUCCUCCUAGGGGACCAGCUGCCGAGGCCCAUACUCUUUGGUCCCCAGCUGCCCCCCACCCCCAUGUCUGCUUGCCUGGAGUGCUCAGAAGCUGUGGGCUGUGCACCCCACUCCCACUCAGCUCUGGAAGCAGACGCACCGUCUCCACCAAUAGACACACACACCUGAACCCACACUCCACGUAUUUCCGGCCCCAGCUGGUCAUGCCCACAGUCCGGGGAGCACCUUGUAGCUUUACGGCUCAUGAAGACGGGGUCCCGUGGCGUCAAAGCACAUAGUAAACCUCUGUGAAAGGGUCCUUGGUGAUGCCGGGAAAGGCCAGGUAGCCGCUAGGUGUUUUACUGCUGUAUUUAAUUCUUUUUUUCCCCAAAAAAGAUUUUAUUUAUUUAUUUUUAGAGAGAGGAGAAGGGAAGGAGACAGGGAGAGAAACGUUGAUAGUUUGCCUCUCGCACGCUCCCCCUGCUGGGGACCUGGCUGGCAACCCAGGCAUGCGCCCUGACUGGGGGUCGAACUGUCGACCUUUCAGUUUGCAACCAGUGCUCAAUCCACUGAGCAACACCAGCCAGGGCUACUUAAUUCUUAAGGACCGAGAUGCUUUCAAUUUCUGUGUUCAACAUUUAGAAUGGCAACCGUGCCCUGAUGGGCAUGGCUCAGUUCAUAGGGCGUUGUCCCGCAAAUUGAAAGGUCACUGGUUCAAUGUCCGGUCAGGGCACUUACAAGGAGGAAAGUGAUAGAUGUUUCUGACUCACAUCAAUGUUUCUCUCCCUCUCUUUGUCCCUCCUUCCUCCUUUAAAAAGUAAAAAAUUAAUAAUAAUAAUUAAAAAACAAUAAAGAAUUAGAAUGGCAGCCAUGUUAUUUAAUAUGUAUAGAUCAGUUUUCUCUGUUCCAUGUGCUUGGAAGUAUUUGUUGAUUAAUAGCUCAAAAUAUGUGUUUUUAAAUAACACCAGUUGUUUAAAAAGCAAACUAAUGAUGAGCUCAAUGUUUUAUCAAUAAGUAGGCAGAGCAUGGAUGGUGUUAAGGGUUUGCUGAUAACAUUUUGUUUUGUUGUGUCCGGUGAAAAAUGUUCUGAUUUCUAUUUUACCUGUGAAUCCACCCCCUGGGCAGGGCUCACGCCCUGUGGCCGGGCCUGGGUGUGGGGACCCAUGGUGAACCUGCGGCUUUCCUUUAGUCUUCGCGUCUAUUUUUCCGAGAAUGCUGAUGUAAACAUAGCCUGCCUGGGAACACGCUCACGAAAUGUGCCGUUUUCAGCUUGUGCCCAGAAUCCCAGUAACAUCAGUGGGAUCGCGUCCCUCUGCAGCUCCAGACCUCCGUCUUCCUGCUUCCGGAUUCCCAUCGGACUAAGACCCUCCCCUUGACCCUCUGUGAUGGGGCCUGUCGCUGCCUCUCGCCCAUAGUCUUCCCUCACCGCGCCCCCUGCUGGCGGCCACACUGCCUGCCUCACUGUUCCGGCCCUUGCCCUCCCAUGCACUCAUUCCCUCACCAAACAGGGUGCCCUGGGCCCCUUUUCUGAGAGCCCAGGGUGUAACUGUGAACAAAAUAGACAGACUUUUUUUUUCAAAGAUUUUAUUUAUUUUCCAGAGGGGAAUGGAGAGAGAAAGAGGGAAACAUUAAUGUGUGGUUGGCCCUUGAGCGCCCCCUACUGGGGACCUUGCCCACAACCUAGGCACGUGCCCUGACUGGGAAUCGAACAAGUGGCCCUUGGUUUGCAGUCCGGCUCUCAAUCCACUGAGGCACACCAGCGGGGCAGGGCCAGACUUUUUUUUUCCAGUCCUAUUUGGACUUCAUCCCAGGAAAGGGAUGUAAACAAAAUAGAUACGUGCCUCCCAGCAUGUGUUAGAAUGAGAUGAGCACCAUGGAGAAAGGGAAGCUGGGUAGGAGGGGCCGGUUAAAUACAAUGGUCAGGGAAGGUCUCACUGAGGAAGUGACAUCUGAGCAAAGGCUUGAAGGGCAAAUGGAAAGAGACGAAUGUUGGAGACAGCCACUCCCUAGGGAUGUGGUUGGGCAAAGUGAGUGGAGGGGAAAGUACCGUUAAGAGAGGGUCUUUAGAUUUUUUUUUAAUAUUUUAUUUAUUUUUAAAGAGAGGGGAAUAGAGGGAAAAAGAGAAAAGAGAAACAUCAAUUGGCUGCCUCUCACACAUGCUCUGACCAAGGACUGAACCCACAGCCUAUGCAUGUGCUCUGAUCAGGAUUCAAACCAGUGACCUUUCACUUUGUGGGAUGACCCCCAACCAAAUAAACCACACAGACCAGGACUAGAUUUUUUUUUUACUAUAGGAGAUACCCCAUAUUUCUAUGCUGAUGGCAUGAUUCUGGGAGAUGGGGGUUGGGAGGAGGAGGAUGGCUAAUGUGGGAGAGAGGGAGAAGUUUUGGAGUGACGUGCCAGAGUAGCAGACCAGGGCUGGGCACCACUGCGUACUUCCUCCAGGGUAACAGGGAGGAAGGGUUUGGGCGAGAAUGAAGUCAGUAAGUGCAUAGGUGUUGGAACCUGGCGGUGGUAGGGAGCUCUUCGGUUACUCCGGGAAAUAGGAAGGAGGGUGAGCUGAGAGGGAAGCAGGCGAGUUGCUGCUGGGGACUGCCCAUCCUGGAGCGAGAGAGUGAACAGCUUCACCAGCGGGGUGUUACGGAAGCGUGGAGUCUCCCCCUCGCUCCCACCCUCCACCCUGAGAUUCUGGGCAUGACUCUCAGUGAGGUCAGCCAGUGCGGUGGCCCGGUGUUCUGGAGCCAAGGUUCAAUCAUGCAGAUGGGGGUGUGCGGUGGGUGGAGAGUUGGGUCUCACUGGGCUGGCUUUUGCCAAGUGAGUGCAAUGGAACCAAAGUGAGCAAGGGAGUCGCCACUUCUCCUGCCCAGAGCCCCAGACACUCAUGGGACUCCCUGGCUUGUCACCUGCAGGUCUGCACUCAGUGGUCACGUCCCCAGAAAGCCCCCUCUCUCCAUCCUUGUCCCUUUAUGACACCACAGCGAACUUCUGUCUCCUCACUGGAAUGCAAACCUCAGGCCAUGGAUUGCUGACCACGUAACAAUGAUAUUAACACAGCCCAGGAACCUAGAACAGUGCCUGGCACAUGGCGGGGCCCCUCCCCAUGCUGGGUGAAUGAGUGAAUGAAUGAAAGAAAGAAUGAAUGAAUGAGCCACAGAUAAAAAGGGGCACAGCAGGCGUUACCGUCUGUAGGUAAAGAGAAUUAACGAACUGAACGAUGACUCAGAUUUGGAGAAACAAAGGAGACUACCUUAUCACUCAUAACUUUGCAUGUCGCUUUAAACCCUCUGAAGAUCUUACUGGUUACCUCGAACUAAGUAUCUGAACUACUAGGACAUCACCUGUGUUGCUAGGCACAAGUAUGAUCACGUACAAACAUGUGUGUGCACGUGCAUUUGAAUGCAGAAGGGAUGUUUGAGGAGGACCUGUUUGCAUGCAUGCGAAGAUGUUUUUCCUACAGGGAGGUACAAAGAAUUGUUGGCUACAGGGCAUCUGAGAAGCCCGAAGGCAACACCGCAGGCAGUUAAUGGUGCUCGGACGGCCUGUGAAUUCCCAGGGGCCCACGGAGCAUGGGGCCGUCCUGGGACAGAGCCCUGCUUCUUGUGCAGUUAACUGAAAGGGCCUUUCUCUCCCUUCCGCUGCUGCAGGGAAGUCUCUGCACACAAUGCUGUGUGUGUCCCAAGGCUGCAGGGCCAAUUCAGGGAGAGCUCUGAAAAGCAUCUUUAUGUUUCAGCCGAGCAGAUGGGUGAAGAGUAAGAACCCUGGUUCCUCUGGGCUCUCACCAGCCCACGGACGGCCAGAGCAGGCCAGGACCCCCUGGCCCCUCCGGAUGUGCUGCCUGAGCCUUGGGCUGCUCUGACCCCGGGGUUCACUGGGAAGUUGCCCUGUGAAUGGCACCAGGCAGCUUCAAUGGAGAGCCUUCCCCCGUGCUUAUAAGAGGGCUGUGUGUCACGACCGUCUGCCUUGGAAAGCUGCCCAGACCAGACCCAGGUAUCGGGACCAUGACCUUGCACUGUGUGUGCAGCCUGUGCCAGGCAGCUGGGGCCUUCUCUUCAGCGCUCUCAGCCCUGCGCCCGGGCCUCCCGCCACACAGGAAGACACAGCUGGAGGCCUGUGCCUAGCCACAGGGCCCCACGUGGCUCCCCGAGCACCCAUGGGGGAGGGAGGCUGCCCGCUGGCCCCAGCCCAACCCCGCCAUCCCCGGGGCCAUCUGCUCGGGAAGCAGCAGAAGAUGUUUGACAGAACACAGUGGAGCGCUGAUUCCUGAGUCCACUCCAGUCUCUGCUUCCUCCCUUUCUUCUUUUUAAAUAAGCAAUAUGGGUGUAUGGCUCCACAUUCAAAAGCUGCCAACUAGCACAGGGUGAAAGGAACGUGUCUCUCCCACCCGCAAGUGCCAGGCGACCAGGGACCCGGCCAGAAACCACCACCAUGUCACCACAGCACACAGGCAUGUGCAGUUCUGUGUGUGUGUGUGUGUUAACGCGACAUAAAACUGCACUGCCCCUUGCUUUCUGGACUUUGCUUUUCACGUCAUUUCACAUGCAGCUGCUGUGGCUAAUGUUUCUCUUUGGGUGAGUCACGCAGUUUGUGACCAGUCCCCCUCGCAGGCCUCUGCUCCCGUGCGGUCGUGGUUUCUGUGCCAUGGCGAUGGGUGACUCAGAAACCGGCUCACACCCCGUGAGCCACACGGUGGGAGAAACGCCACAAGGUAGGCACAUUCCAGAGAACUCCACUGGGCUGCUGAGAUGACUUGGCCGUCUGGAUUUCUUCGCUGUUACCAAGGAAGUCCGCCUUGCUCUCCCCCGGUCGCCACCGCUGGGGGCCAGUCUUCCAGGCACCGGUGAGUCAGAACAAGAAAAAGAACAAGGGUCGCUAACAUGUCAGAGCGCCUGCUCUCUGCCCAGCAGCACUCUGCACACAACGUAUGUGACACUGUUUAAUCCUCCAGACAAAUCACGAGAUACGUUGUUAUCGACUCCUAUGUACAGAUGGGGAAACUGAGGCACACAGGCGGUAAGGAGCUUGCUAAAGUCCCACAGCUAGGGGGUGCUGGGUCUUGGGUUGAACCCUCGCAGCCGAGCUCUGUGCCACACCCUGGCUCAUAGCAAAAUCUUCUGAGCAAUUGCUUGGCUGCUGGAGCUCCUGAAGCUGCGGCUGGUGUGUGCGUACCAGCCGGUGCUUGCCAGCCAAGCCCGAAUGGCAGCCGUGUCUUUGGCUCCCGACUCUGCGGCGUGCCUGGUGAGAUGCUGGACUAGGUCGUAAGCUUCGUUCACCCCAGUACCUGGUGCACAGCUCAAUUAAUUAUCAAUGAAUGAAUGCCGUACUGGAUAAAAUAAUGCAAAUAAUAGCUAACAUUUGUGGAGUACUGGCUAAGAGUUCACCAUAGAUUAUCUCAUCUAUAAAGGAGAUAAACCCCAUUAUUCCACUUGACUGAUGGAGAAACACAGGCUCAGAGAAGUUGAGUAACUUGCCCAGGGCACACAGCCGGUGAGUCGAAGAGCGAGGAUUGGGUCUCUGGGGGUCUGUUCUCUGCCUCGGUGGUUUCUGUGCGAUGUCUGAGGUCCUGGCUGCACCCAAGUUUGUGGAUCCAUGAAUUUCCCUUCUUGGCAUUAACCUCCACUGGUACAGGCUGAAGGCAAUAGCUACACAGCCUUUAAAAAGAGCAGCUGCACAGUUUCGUCUCCAGCCCUCAGCCCUCUCACGACUCCCGGGAGGUGACCUCAAGACCCAGCUCGGCCGGGAACCCAUCCCAGCCCCACCUCUGGGACCGGCACACAGUGAGAGAAUGCGGCUCACCGAAUCCCCCACCAAAUGGGAACUGACUGCGGAGCCCACUGACCGCAAGUGCUGCCAAGGGCGUGGAGGAGGAACAGCUCUCUUCCCCUGCCGGGGAUGCCAACUCAGGACCGCCUGGGAAGGUCACCUUGCGGAGCUGCGUCCGACCUCACCCCAGUGACUCCAUUCCCACCGCUGUCCCCAGAGAAGCCCAGGACCCAGGACACAGGCGCUGGGGUCUCCUAGCAACGUUGUUAGUAAUGGCAGAACCCUGGAAACAGCCCCCAACUCCACUGAUAGCAGAACAGGUAAAAAUCUACACAUUCCCAUCACACAUUCUACGAACUACGGCUCGAUCGAUGCACUACUGCGGAAGCCUCCUAAUGUCCCAGAAGGCAACUUGUAGGAAGAGGCAUGUUUAUAAAGUUCAGAAACGAGCGAAAGUGUAGGGAACACGGGGAGUGACAAGAAGGAGUGAGUUUCAGGUAUUGGGUACUCACCUGUGUUCCUGGGGAGGGGGAUGUGUGAGCUUCAGCCUGUGGGGAACAUGCCGGCUCUUAAAUUGGGUGCUGGGUCCAUGGAUAUGAUUCAGUGUUUACACGUCACAGCUUAAACGUGUAUUUAUAUGUGUUAAAUAGUUCCUCAUUAAAUUUAAAAAUUAAUGUUUAAAAAGAAGAUGUCGAAAGAAUAUACACUGAAGUAUUACAAGUGGUUACCCUGAAGGCAGGGGUUAUGGGGGAUGUUCAUUUUCUAUUUUAUAUAAUUCUGAUCAUUUAAAUCCUUUUGAGUAAAUGGGUUACAGUUUAUAAUUGGAAACACAAAAGGCCGACAAACGUCAAAAUAGGAAAAAGAGAGAAAGCUAAAGAUUUGCCCACUGAGUCGGUGGCCCACCUGAAGAAAAUGGGAGCGGAAGGUGGUCUGCCCCCCUUCCCUCUGCGGAGAGGGACGGAGAAGCACCAAGACUGAGAUAAGACCUUCGUCACACAGCUUCGUGCCUCUGACCCGUCACCAGCCACAUCGCCCCUGGUGUGACAAGCAAUGACAUGUUGUGAAAAAUAAAUUCCGUGACCCUGCCAUGACUGUGGAGGUUUUAUGUGAGGCUGAGUGUGUUAAGCAUACUAUGUCGUUCAAGGUAAGUACUUAAAAUACACCACAAACUUUGAACUCUCUUUUGAUGUUAUUUGUUUUCAAAUAUACUGGAAGCUUCCACACAUCAAAGCAGCCAGGACCUCCCCUGACCCUUGAGAGGCCCUGCCCACCAAGAGCCUUUGCCCCUGUCGUCCAGCCGGGUCCCCGCAGAGAAGCCCAGAAUGCCGGACGGGCUGACGGGGGAUUCAGUGGGGACAGAGACGGCUGGCGCUCUGUCCUGUGCACUCCAGAAGGCUCUGCACCGCGGCCACUAAGAAUUCUGUCUCCUCUGUGAGACGGAGAAGACAUUGCAGGGGCCAACCUGCAUCUCGGUCAUAGGGCUCUGCCCACCUCCUCCGCUGCCCUCCCUGUUCUGUACAGGUGUUUUCUCCAUAGAUCUCUCGCAUGCCCGACGUCAUCUCGGUGUUUGAUUCUCGGAGGACUCAGUCCAGCUGGAAUCGAAGGGAGGACGGCAAACAGCCCCAGUGUCUGCUGCCUGGAGGGUGAGGUCAGUCUUACCCAUUACUCUUAUGGCAAUGUCUGUCCGUAGCUGGGGCCAUUAUUCUGCCCCCUCUGAAGAGACACAAAGCCCCUUGUGAGAGGGGCACAUUGUAUCCCCACACCUUUGUGGCACCUGCCACAGUGCUGACCCUGAGCCACAGCCUGUAACCCACGAUCACCCAAGUAACAGCGUGUCCUCAUUAUGGGCACCUCAAUGAGCUGAUGAGUCCUGUGUUCAAGUGAGAGGCGACAUGUGACUUCACUCUGAAAAACAUAAAGGGCUUUGGGGUUCGGUCAGCAGCUCCUCCCCUUGUUUGGGGUUGGGUAGCAUGUUGUUGAGCUUAACCAAGGAUUCUGGGUGCCAUGAGAUUAGGAAAAAAGAGGCAAAAAAUAGAAGCAAACACAUAGAUUUCCUGGAUGACAAGGGUUUUUAAAAAAGUAUUUAAAUAUGUUAAAGAGGUAAUGGAAAAAGAUGGGCAAAUAGAGGAUGAUAUGAAGGAAUUCAACAGAAAAAUAAGAACUUAUUGAAGUAUGCAGUAUCUGAACUGAAGAAUUCAUCACACAAGUUUAACAGUAGACGGGACACUGGAGAAGAAAGAAUUGGUGAACUUGAAAACGUGUCCGUAAAUAUACAAUGACCACACGACCCAGGAAUCGCACUCUUAGCAUUUAUCCCAGAGAAAGAAAAACUUAUGUCACCUGAAGACCUGUACACAAAUGUAGACAGCAGUUUCACUGACUACAGCCCCAAACUGGAAACCACUCAUUGGUCCUUCAACAGGUGAACAGCUAAACAACAUGUGUGCACAUCACAGAUACGUCUCGGUCAUAAAAACAGAUGGACUAUUGGUAAAUGCAACCAGUCAGACGAGUUUCAAGGGAAUUUUCUUUUUUGAGUAAAAAAGCCAGUCCCAAAGGUUACAUAGCAUAUGAUCCCAUUUAUAUAACAGUCUUGAAAUGCCAAAUUUAGAGAUGAGGAACAGAUUAGUGGUUGUCGGGGCUCAGGGGUGGGGUGCGGACAUGGUGGAGAGAUGGUGGCGGUUAUGAAGGGGCCAUGCAAGGGCUCCUGAGAGCGAUGGCGGUGUUCUGUGUCCUGACUGAGGUCGUGGACGUGUGAACCUACAUUUGUGAUCAAAUUGAAUUGAACUUCACACACACACACACACACACACGCACACACCCAGAUCAGCAUGAGAAAAACUGAGAACACUUUGGUAAGAUCAGUGGGUCGUACUGAUUCAGGAUCCUGGUGGUGACAUUGCAGGUCAGUUCUGUACGACGUUACCCCUGUGGAAACUGAGUAAAGGGUGGAGGAUAUGUUUGCACUACUUCUUACAACUGCAUGUGGAUCUAUCAACAAAUAAGAAAGAAAAAAGAGCAGAACGGAGUGUCCACGGACCACGAGACAAUAGCAAAUGCUCUAACACAGACACAGUGACAGGGCAGGAAGAGAGCAGAGAGGGGAAGUGGGAUAGAAGGAUUACUUGAAGAUUUAAUGGCUGAGGAUUUUCCAAAAUUAAUGAAAAAUAUCAACCCAUAGACCCAUGAAUCUCAUGGAACCCCAAGGAGAAUAAAUUAAAAAAACAAACAAGCCACAUCUAAGCAUAUCCUACUAAAACCACUAAAAUACAGAGUUUAACAGAAAUUCUGGCACAUAGCCUAAGGAAAGAAGACAUCUUCAAUAGAACAACAACGAAAAAUGAUGACUGAUUUCAUCAGAACAAUGAAAGCCAGAAGCCGAUGGAAGGACAUCUAAUGUGAAAGAAAAAAGUGUCAGCGAGAAGCCCAUAUCCAGUGGAAGUACAGGGAAAAAAAUUUAAGUCGACAAAAGCGAAGAAGACCAGAGAUAACUUGCUACCAGCAGAACCACUGUAAGAAAUGCUAACGGAAAGUCUUUAAGCCAAAGGGACGUCAGCUCAGAUCAGGGGCCAGACUUGCAGGAAGAAUCAAGAACACAAGAAAUGGUAGGCAUUUGGGCAAAUGUGAAAGACUAUCUCUCUUCAGUUGACAAUCUCUUUAAAGUUGGCUGUUUCAUGGGGAAAACAAUACAAUGUGCGUGGUGUUGACAGCACACCCAGAAAGAACCCGGCGACAGCUCAAGGGACAGUUCAGCCUGUGUUGUUCAUGAGGGGGGACAACCUUACCUCAAGGAAGACGACUGUCAGUUAGGGGUAUAGGUGGUGAUACCCCACAACCACUAAAGAUAAUACAGAGAGAUACAGUACAGAGACUUUAUAUUUAAUACCCACGGCGCCUGGGUGGAACGGGCAUUGCCUCCCGAUUUCACAGGUAGAGAGCUGAGGCUUGGAGAUGGCGAAGCUUAGCUCAUGAGCACCGGGUGGGAAACAGAACCGAUCCCAAGGUUUGGGGGGCCCCCAAGGUCAAGGCCCUCUUCAUCCUUUCAAGGGUCAAUAAACUUUCUCUGUACGGGGUCAGAUAAUACAUAUUUUGGGCUUUGUGGACCAUAGGGUUUCUAUCAAUCACAACCACUUCAACUUUGUUGUAAAAGCAGCCACGGCCCAUUUGUAAUUAAUGGGUCAUAGCAGUGCACCAAUAAAGCUUUAUUUAUAAAACCAGGAGGUGAGCCAGAUGUGGCCCCUGGGCCACAGUUUGCCAGUCUUCACACUAUCCCAUCACCCACUGGUUUUCAGUCCUGGCCUGGAAAGGGUCAUUCUGAUCCACAGCCGGGGCACAGAGCCGCUGAUGGGUUCCCCUUGGUCCCCACUCCCAGCCCUUGGAGUCAGCCCAGUCACUGACGAUCCAGACUUUCAAACUCACACGAACCAUAUCUGCAACAGACUGAUGUGCACCCACACUGCCCCACGACCAAACCUUCAGCACAAUUCUGCGGCAGCCCAGGCUUGCGGGGCCAGGACUAAAGCCUUAACCGAGAGGCCGAGGCCCGGAGGGAAGGCUUUCUCGUUCACCUUCAGAGAAACCCCCAGACCUUCAGUUGGGUGGGUUGGCAGCUUCAGGUUUACUAAACAUCCCCAAACUGGUUUCAGCAGGUGCCCCUCCCACGGCACUCAGUGCUCCCCACCGCUGGCAUUGCUGGGUCAGUUUUGUCAUUUGGGACAUAAAAUGUCAGCUGUGUUUAACCACUUGCUCAGGUCUCCAAACCCCACUGAGGGCGGGAAUCAGUGUUCAGAGCUGUUCCACACAGUUGCGCUUCACCUUGAAGUCUGCAACCACUUCUUGACCCUUGAAAUCACUGCCGCCUGUCAUCCCUGCCUGCCCUGCCGCUAAGGCCAAGAGCGGUCGGGACUGGCACUCACCCCUGGGAUGCAGCUGCCCCUACACUCUCCCUUCUUUCCGACUGAAGACAAUCCCAUUGCGGACAUCAGUCUAUUCUUCCUCAGGCGAGACUAAUCGUUAACAAGCCGCUUCCGUUUGUUGAGCACUUAUAAUAGGCCACGUGCUUUGCACACACAGUCUCAUUUGAUCUCACACCCCAGGGCCUUACUAGUCUACUCCUUUUGCAGCGGAGGAAACAAAGGUUCAGAGCAGUUCCCUGGUUUUCCUAGGCCACGAGGUUUUAAGUGACCUGCUUAGCUGCAGGACCCAGGUCUGGCCGACUGCAGGGCUCGCGCCCACGCCGCCAUGGUGUGUUGUCUGUCCUCUGGGGACAGGAAAGUCCCAGGAAGGGGUGGCACCUUCCGUCCUUCUGUCCUCAGGCUGCCAGACCGUCAGGCUGAGAGGUGAGAGGGAGCUCCCCGCAUGUCUCCACUGGCAGCCGGACACCGUGACAGGGGGAACAGAGGACACCACGGGGACGCGUCCUUAGCUCCUCAGGAGCCUCACAAAAUUGCACAGUGGGAUGUGUUCUUCCCAUUAUCGAAAUACUACACGGCCACAAAAAAUGAGAAAAUGCACACAAGUAAACAGAAGGGGAAAAAUCGGUCGUGGGGCUCUUAACCAGUGAUGUGUGGGCAAAUUCCCUUCUCUUUGGAAGGGUCGGAAUCGCACUGUAUACACACACUGCUUUAUGAGCGAAGUUCCAUAUUUACAAGUUGUUUAAUUGCCCUGUUUUUCUUAACCAGUUCCCUCAGGGGAGUGUAGGCUGGGUGAGGCAUGGCUGGGCGGUCUCCCCACUCACUGUUGCAGGGUCUCACGGGCCAAUUUCAUUUCCUCCGCAGACGUGAGUGGCCACUGUGGUGCCAUUUGCUAUGGGGCUUCCCGGGCAGCACUUCCUGGUGCACUGACAGAAACCACGCUGGCAUUGACCAUGAGCUUGCGUCGUCCACUGGUUUGGUGGCACAUGCAGCCCUAUGGAACCACCCCUGUGCUCUUGGCCUCUCAGUCCCAUCCAGAGGGCACUGGCGCAUGUCCCAGAUUCCCAGGAUUGGGGACCUUGUGGGAAGGGUGCCCCAGGAAGGCUCUUGGCCAAUGUCUCCCCUUUCCUGAUGGUCACACGUCACUCAAGGUUGGGUGAGGGGAGUUGGCCACAGAGGGGGCUGUACGGGGGUCUGGAGGCCAGAAGACACGUGUGUGGAGCCUGGCUCUUCUACUUGUUAGUUGUGGAAAUGGAGCAAAUUACAGAAGCUUGGAGCCUGGGUCUCCUCACAUUUAUGAGAAAAUACUUCCUUCCCUCCAGGGUUUUUGUGGGAAUGAGAUGACAUAACCCAAGUGAACUUGCUGGGCCCAGUUGCUGACCUAAUGAAGGCAGUUAAUAAAGAACUGAGCUCAUUUCCGACCCCACCUCCCCGCCCCCGGGGAGGAGAGCUCUCGGUUCAGUUUUUCCAUUAUCCUAUCUCUCAGUUCCACUGAGCCCUUGUGUUCAAAAGCUUUGUCCUCUUGCAGAAAAAGGUCUCCAAAGCCAUACUGGGCAAUCCAGUAGCCUCGAGGCUUUCCUGGCCCGAUGCUCUGGCCAGAUUAUGGGCAAAGGGCUCCCUACCCUCAUCUUGUUGACAAGUUCAAGACCACUUGGCUUACUUUAGGAAUAAACAAGACCAGCAAAAACACUCUUCACUCCUCGUACCAAAUAAGCUCAUCUGUUCGCUAUAUUCGAUACACAUUUGCUGGCAGGCGGAACGGCGCUGUGUGCACUGGGGCCAGCUCUGGGGGCGUCUUGAAGGCCUGCCUGAGGGGUCUGGGCCCUGCCUCCCCUCUGAUGCUAAUCUUCCCUGCUCACCUCAUCAUGCUUCGUUUCUGGACCAGCCUCAUCGUACGGAAACCGAAGACUAGGGACAGGAAGGACCAGCCAGAUAUUAGGGUUCAAAUGCACCCAUUAGUCCAGUGGUCCUCCUGUGGGGCGCUUAGAGCUCCCAGAUGCCCAAGCGCACCCCGGCUCACUCAACCAGGAUUUCUGGGCACGGGGACCAGGCACAGCACCAAGUGUGGGCCAAGUUCGAGAAGCAGUGACUUAACCACCAUUGCUGAUGGGCCUGACUGCUCCCCAUGCACCGCUCUUUAUAACAGCCACGUGGAGCCGGCUCAUAGCCAGCACUGCUGACGGCGACAGACCACCUCAGUCCAUUCCCGAUGAACUCCCUGAGUGGGGAUGUGGUAGCCAGUCCAAGAUCAUGCAGAUGUCCUGAAGUCAUGCAUGACAAACCUUUUAUUACAUUAAAAAAAGUCAUCUGUUAACUGCUGAACUGCAGGGAAAACUGUAUCCGAGGCUACUUCAGAAAAAUGGCAUCAGGGAACAAACAUAUUUUCAGCAUCACAAAAUGGCCAGAUUCUCCUCCACUUUCUCCAUUAAAUAGUCAUCAGUGGCUCUGGCCAGAUCUGGUGAGAGCACCGAAUUGCUGCCUGGACGUAAAACCAGGAUUAUCCUAAUAUGUCAACAACGCAGGUCCCUUUCCAUCCCUGUCCCUGGCAGCCAGACUGCUGUGGUUUGAACACAGAGGCCACGCCCUGGUGGCAUCUGUCCCAUGUCUCUGCGGUGACAUGAUGCUUUUCCCAAGAGCUGGCUCUGGGACGGUUUCAAUGGCGGCAUCGCCAUCUGGGGCCCACGUGCAUGGGCUGUGGUGGGCUGCUGUGGGCUACGCGAUUGGUUCCCUCUGAGAUAGGGAGCAGCUUGGUUCCACCUCACUAUGCAGCCCAUUUUCUAUCCCGAGGGGGUGUCAGCAAACGCAGCUCCUCACUCGGGGUGGGGAGUGGUACUUCGCCCCAGAGCAGGCCUGGCGGGUGCAUCCGGCUGGGCCGGGCAGGGUGUGACCUGCAAGGUGAAGCUGAGGAGCAGUGGGGAUGCUGCCUUUCAGUUCAGAGCAACUUCCGAGGCCCCCAGUGUCCACUCCACCUGCGGGGUACGUGGACGUGACCCAAAGGGCUUUCCCACUGAGCCGGAAGGUGAGGAGCCCACCUGCCAUGGUGCCCGGGCUCUGUCGCCUGUUGGAAGCGGCUGUUCACGCUGCCCUUGCCCUUGUGUGGAGGCUCAGCUCGCCCUCCUGCUCCUGGGUGUGACGAGGGCAGUGGGAUUCCUGGGAUCCGGAAGCACUGGGGCUGCUGCUUGAGAGGCGAGGUGCUCCUCCCCGCACUUCCGCUCCCACCCAGGAGCACGUCGCUGGCUUCACACGGGGUCACGUGCCCUCGCCUCCCGCUUUGCUCCUGCUCCUCCUCUGCCCCACCUCACCCCUGCACCAGGCCACACCACACAGGCAC